Molecule: transfer RNA, 133 nt
Filed under: Candidatus Hermodarchaeota archaeon
Lineage: Archaea; Promethearchaeati; Candidatus Hermodarchaeota
Description: tRNA-Leu
Rfam family: tRNA
About the family: Transfer RNA (tRNA) molecules are approximately 80 nucleotides in length. Their secondary structure includes four short double-helical elements and three loops (D, anti-codon, and T loops).
Source: RNAcentral
GCGGGGGUAGCCAAGCUUGGCCAACCUUCUUUGACUUCUAAAAACACACGGGUCCUCAUGAAGGGCUAAAGGCGCAGGGCUCAGAACCCUGUCGUGUAGGCGUUCCUGGGUUCAAAUCCCAGCCCCCGCACCA